AAUAUCCAAAUAUAACAAUGGGACUAAGGGUCAAGUUGGUAAUUUUUCUUACACCCCCACACCCAAGGGCCCAUGUAUCCUAUACACCGCCAAAAUAAAGAGCCUUGAGUGCUAGAAGAAAAUCACAUAGACCUAACGAAAUUAAGUGAAUACCCAAAAUUGUAGUAAUUUUAUUUCUAUCUUUCUA
This 187-nucleotide antisense RNA is filed under the name Triticum urartu. RNAcentral's name for it is "Antisense RNA which regulates isiA expression". It matches the Rfam family "Antisense RNA which regulates isiA expression". The record is from Rfam by way of RNAcentral. Lineage: Eukaryota; Viridiplantae; Streptophyta; Magnoliopsida; Poales; Poaceae.